This 413-nucleotide ribosomal RNA is filed under the name uncultured microorganism. Its description in RNAcentral is "bacterial SSU rRNA". It matches the Rfam family "Archaeal small subunit ribosomal RNA", at positions 330 to 745 of the family's 1478-position model. The record is from RNAcentral.
GUGCAGCAGCGCGAAACCUCCGCAAUGCGGGAAACCGUGACGGGGUCACCCCGAGUGCCACCCGAUGAGGGUGGCUUUUCCCCGGUCUAAAAAGCCGGGGGCAAUAAGCGGGGGGCAAGUCUGGUGUCAGCCGCCGCGGUAAUACCAGCCCCGCGAGUGGUCGGGACGCUUAUUGGGCCUAAAGCGUCCGUAGCCGGCUCGGUAAGUCCCUCCUUAAAUCCACGGGCUCAACCCGUGGGCUGGGAGGGAUACUGCCGGGCUAGGGGGCGGGAGAGGCCGAGGGUACUCCCGGGGUAGGGGCGAAAUCCGUUAAUCCCGGGAGGACCACCAGUGGCGAAGGCGCUCGGCUGGAACGCGCCCGACGGUGAGGGACGAAAGCUGGGGGAGCAAAGGGGAUUAGAUACCCGCGUAGU